AAUGAAAGAGUUUUCAGCUGUGUUCCCCAAUGCUGCUUCAUUCAUGACCUUGAGUCGUUCUGCGGCGCCGUGGUACUUCAUUCUACAAACCCCACAAAUUCACCUGUUCUAAUGUGCUGGAGACCCCAUUUCCAUGGUAUGGUAAUCGUUAACUUUGAUGGUUCGCUCAGUGAAAGUGAUGCUGGAGUUGGCUUCAAGGAUCAUCCACGGCAGGUUCUCUAUGCUGGUUUAAGAGGACGAAUCUAAAUCUGUACCAAUGGUUGCAUUGCGGGUGGGAUGGGAAGGACUUAUCACUACUGCGAACAAACUGCAUCUUCUUCUCAUUUGGAUUGAAGGUGACUCCAAUUCAAUGGAUAAACAAUGCCACUACCUCUAUGACAGACCAGCAUACUCUGCUUCAGGAUAUCAUGGAGAUUAAAGCACUUUCUCCCUCCUUGCUUCCACAUUUAUUAGGAGGCUAAUAAGGCAGCUGAUUGGUUAGCUACCAGAAGAUCAAAGCGAGACUUUCUUCCUCAUGCAAACAUUCUCCAUAUUACUUGAUGAAGUCACAUCCCACUAAAGUAGUAAAAGAAGUGGUGAACAUAAACUCAAACAAGUGAGAAGUGAGAUAAGGAUAGGAAUAUGGGUAGUUGAAAUCAACAAGGAUAAUAAUUCAAGUCCUUGUCAAACUCAACAAGAAUUGCUUAUAUAUAUACCCAUUGCCUUCUAUUUUUGUAUGAAAAAAAUCCAAGGGAUAAUUCUAACUCUUUGUGGAUUCUUUUUUUCUUGUAUUGUUAGGGUUUGGGUUGUACAACCUUGUUCUCAUUGUAGAGAGAGAGAAGGGUGAG
This 827-nucleotide long non-coding RNA is filed under the name Elaeis guineensis (African oil palm). RNAcentral's name for it is "long non-coding RNA (EGUI_LNC004633)". Lineage: Eukaryota; Viridiplantae; Streptophyta; Magnoliopsida; Arecales; Arecaceae. The record is from RNAcentral.